CCUACGGGGGGCUGCAGUCGAGAAUCAUUCACAAUGGGGGAAACCCUGAUGGUGCGACGCCGCGUGGGGGAAUGAAGGUCUUCGGAUUGUAAACCCCUGUCAUGUGGGAGCAAAUUAAAAAGAUAGUACCACAAGAGGAAGAGACGGCUAACUCUGUGCCAGCAGCCGCGGUAAUACAGAGGUCUCAAGCGUUGUUCGGAAUCACUGGGCGUAAGGCGUGCGUAGGCUGUUUCGUAAGUCUUGUGUGAAAGGCGCGGGCUCAACCCGCGGACGGCACAUGAUACUGCGAGACUAGAGUAAUGGAGGGGGAACCGGAAUUCUCGGUGUAGCAGUGAAAUGCGUAGAUAUCGAGAGGAACACUCGUGGCGAAGGCGGGUUCCUGGACAUUAACUGACGCUGAGGCACGAAGGCCAGGGGAGCGAAAGGGAUUAGAUACCCGUGUAGUC
RNAcentral lists this ribosomal RNA (446 nucleotides) under uncultured bacterium. Its description in RNAcentral is "partial 16S ribosomal RNA". It matches the Rfam family "Bacterial small subunit ribosomal RNA", at positions 338 to 795 of the family's 1533-position model. The record is from RNAcentral.